GGCUCUGUAGCUCAGUCGGUAGAGCAGGGGACUGAAAAUCCCUGUGUCCCUGGUUCGAUUCCGGGUGGAGCCACCA
Molecule: transfer RNA, 76 nt
Filed under: Fidelibacterota bacterium
Lineage: Bacteria; Pseudomonadati; Fidelibacterota
Description: Candidatus Marinimicrobia bacterium tRNA-Phe
Rfam family: tRNA
About the family: Transfer RNA (tRNA) molecules are approximately 80 nucleotides in length.
Source: RNAcentral